UGAAGCGAUCAAAUCUUCUUGCCAAAGCCUGAUCGUGCCGGAUAUCAGAAGCUAAGCAGGGCUGGUCCUGGUUGGUACUUGGAUGGGUGACCACUGGGACUAGCAGGAGCCGCAGUGG
This 118-nucleotide ribosomal RNA is filed under the name Periophthalmus magnuspinnatus. The record is from RNAcentral. Lineage: Eukaryota; Metazoa; Chordata; Actinopteri; Gobiiformes; Gobiidae.